Eleginops maclovinus (Patagonian blennie) is the source of this 929-nucleotide long non-coding RNA. RefSeq lists it as uncharacterized. The transcript is spliced from 3 exons. NCBI's taxonomy places the organism in Eukaryota, Metazoa, Chordata, Actinopteri, Perciformes, Eleginopidae. The record is from RefSeq and is a predicted model, not a curated record.
UCCUCAACCCUAAGCCACGCCCUUUGCUCCACCAGGAAAAAACCUACCCCAACAACCAUGGUGUGUCUGCUGCAGGACCCUGGCUGUGUGUGUUAGCUCACUGCAUGAGACACUUCAAUGGACAAUUCAACAGAACCAUGUUACAAGGCCGUUUGCUGAUUGGAAUAAGCCACAGUGACUCUGCUGAAGGGUUGUUACACAUGGGUUUUUCAAGGACUCUUUGUGGGCACAUAUAAAGCAGCUGUGUUUGCAGUGACUGCAGGCUAAAGAGACCAAGCCUGUUGCCAUUUAUUUAUUCAUAUAAUGGUCUGCUAGCAUUUUUUUUGUAGGAUUUCUUAUGCCUCUUUGACAAUAUGGAAUCUGUUCUGUCAUCAUUAUAAUGAGAAAUGGAUGAAAACUGAUUUUUCCUCAAGACUAUCAUAUACUUAAUUAUUUAGGUCGAAUAAGAAACUUGUUCUUGUUAAGGUAACAAGGCAACUUAUCUCAUUAUAACAAACUUGUUUUAAUAAAAAAUGAAAGACCUUAGCAUACAUGGAACACAAGUCUAAGGAGACUUUGUGGUAGGGGAUGUGCUCUCCAAUUUUGUUACUGUUGACAUUUUUUUGUACUUGUAUUUCUUAAUGAGUUUUACUAAGCAGUGAAUGGUUUUAUAGGACCUUGGUGGGAGCUGCAUUAAAAUGUAACAUAUGAUGACUAUUCAGCAUUUUCUCAUUAGCGCUAAGUGAAAAUAAACAGCUGCACUUUUUCAAAUUCAUAAUGAGCAGAAAAGAAUACAUUCUAUAUCCUACACAGAGGUUCUGUACCUGAUUAUUUAACACCAUGUACUAUGCUCAAUAGUAAAAUCUUAUACUUGGGAUAGAUUUAAACGUGUAAAGAUUCAUUUCUAAAACGUUCAUUUUAUUACAAAGCCUACAUGCUGUUCUAAUGAA